AGUGAACGCUGGCGGCGUGCUUAACACAUGCAAGUCGAACGAGAACGGAUUAUAGCUUGCUAUAAUUGUCAGCUAAGUGGCGCACGGGUGAGUAAUGUAUAGGUAAUAUGCCUCUUACUAAGGGAUAACAAAUGGAAACGUUUGCUAAUACCUUAUACUCCUUAUUAACAGAAGUUAAUAAGGGAAAGAUUUAUUGGUAAGAGAUUAGCCUGUAUUGUAUCAGUUAGUUGGUGGGGUAAUGGCUUACCAAGACUAUGACACAUAACUGGUUUGAGAGGAUGAUCAGUCACACUGGAACUGAGACACGGUCCAGACUCCUACGGGAGGCAGCAGUGGGGAAUAUUGCACAAUGGACGAAAGUCUGAUGCAGCAACGCCGCGUGGAGGAUGACACAUUUCGGUGCGUAAACUCCUUUUAUAUGAGAAGAUAAUGACGGUAUUAUAUGAAUAAGCACCGGCUAACUCCGUNCCAGCAGCCGC
RNAcentral lists this ribosomal RNA (479 nucleotides) under uncultured bacterium. RNAcentral's name for it is "bacterial SSU rRNA". It matches the Rfam family "Bacterial small subunit ribosomal RNA", at positions 29 to 518 of the family's 1533-position model. The record is from RNAcentral.